RNAcentral lists this transfer RNA (70 nucleotides) under Cysteochila chiniana. RNAcentral's name for it is "tRNA-Val". The record is from RNAcentral. Lineage: Eukaryota; Metazoa; Arthropoda; Insecta; Hemiptera; Tingidae.
CAAGUUAAAGUUUUUGGUAAACUUUAUUAUUUACAUUAAUAUAUGACUUGUUCGAAUCAAGUUAACUUGA